RNAcentral lists this non-coding RNA (836 nucleotides) under Trapezia guttata. Lineage: Eukaryota; Metazoa; Arthropoda; Malacostraca; Decapoda; Trapeziidae. The record is from RNAcentral.
ACAAAGUUUGAUUCUUUCUUGAGUUUUUACGUAUUUACUGAAAUUGCAUGAGAAUCGUAGUAUGUAUUGAUUACUGUCUUUAAGAGAAGUUGAGUGAAUAAGUAGAAUAAUAAUUGUCGAUAAAAAGUAAAUUCUCAGCAUAUAUUAUUAAAUAAUUUAAGAAAUUAAGAAUUAGUAUAUAAAUAUAGAUCUGACAAAAUAUUGUGCCAGCAAUCGCGGUUAAACUUUAAGGUCAAGUAAAAAUUAAAUAUUAUUUAGUUAAAUAUAAGUGAAUUCAAUUGUAAAAUUGCUUAAAGGUUCGGAGGUGAAAUCAAAGACUUUAGAGUUAAUAAUGUGGAUAAAAAUUGAAGCUAUAAAAAUUUAGAUUUAAACUAGGAUUAGAUACCCUAUUAUACUAAAAAUUAAUCUUUUAAAAUUGAUUAUUAUUAGAUAUGUACUUGAAAUUUGAAGAAUUUGGCGGUAGUUUAGUCUUGUUAGAGGAACCUGUUUUAUUAAAUCGAUAAACCGCGUAAAAUCUUGCUUCUUUUUGUCACGCAGCUUAUAUACCGUCAUUAACAGAUAAUUUUACGAGAAUUAAUUGUUGAAGUUUGUAAAAUGUAAAUAAAAUUAGAUCAAGGUGUAGUCUAUAAAGAAGUUAAAAUGGGUUACAAUAAAAUUUGCUUAAACGUAUUUGUAAAGUAAGAAUUUAUAAUGAAGGAGGAUUUAAUUGUAAUUAUAAAUUAAUACAUUAUAAUGAUAUAUAGCACUAAAUUAUGUACAUAUUGCCCGUCGCUUUCAUUCAAAGAUGAGAUAAGUCGUAACAUAGUAGGUUUAUUGGAAAUUGAACCUAGAUUGAU